Molecule: non-coding RNA, 72 nt
Organism: Pangasius djambal
Lineage: Eukaryota; Metazoa; Chordata; Actinopteri; Siluriformes; Pangasiidae
Source: the annotation of a GenBank genome assembly
AUAGUGGAGGACUAGUGGUUAGGCCACGGGGCUUUCAACGCCACGGCCCGGGAUCGAUUCCUGGCCAGGAUA